AAGGUAGCGAAAUUCCUUGUCGGGUAAGUUCCGACCUGCACGAAUGGCGUAACGAUCUCCACACUGUCUCGGCCAGAGACUCGGUGAAAUUGCAGUCGCGGUGAAAAUUCCGUGUACCCGCAGAAAGACGGAAAGACCCUGUGCACCUUUACUAUAGCUUGACAUUGGAUUUUGGACCUACAUGUGUAGGAUAGGUGGGAGGCAGUGAACCAUGCACGCCAGUGUGUGGGGAGCCAACGUUGAAAUACCACCCUUGUAUGUUUAAGAUCCUAACGUCCACCAGUAAUCCUGGGGACAGACAGUGUCUGGCGGGUAGUUUGACUGGGGCGGUCGCCUCCUAAAGUGUAACGGAGGCAUGCAAAGGUUCCCUCAGCCUGAUCGGAAACCAGGCGCUGAGUGCAAACGCAUAAGGGAGCUUGACUGUAAGAGAGACAUCUCGAACAGGAACGAAAGUUGGCGUUAGUGAUCCGGUGGUCCCGAAUGGAAGGGCCAUCGCUCAUUGGAUAAAAGGUACGCCGGGGAUAACAGGCUGAUCGCAUCCAAGAGUUCACAUCGACGAUGCGGUUUGGCACCUCGAUGUCGGCUCAUCACAUCCUGGGGCUGAAGCAGGUCCCAAGGGUACGGCUGUUCGCCGUUUAAAGUGGUACGCGAGCUGGGUUUAAAACGUCGUGAGACAGUUUGGUCCCUAUCUUCUGUGGGCGAAGGAGAAUUGAGAGGGCCUGUCCCUAGUACGAGAGGACCGGGAUGGACGCACCCCUGGUGAUCCUGUUGUCGCGCCAGCGGCAUAGCAGGGUAGCUAUGUGCGGAAGGGAUAACCGCUGAAAGCAUCUAAGCGGGAAGCCUGCCUCAAGAUAAGUUCUCCCCUCGAAAGAGCUGAAGGACCCAGAUAGACUAUCUGGUUGAUAGGCUGGAGGUGUAAGCGUGGCGACAUGCUCAGCUGACCAGUACUAAUAGUCCGAGCGGCUUAUUUUU
Molecule: ribosomal RNA, 972 nt
Filed under: human gut metagenome
Description: bacterial LSU rRNA
Rfam family: Bacterial large subunit ribosomal RNA
Source: RNAcentral